RNAcentral lists this microRNA (17 nucleotides) under Corchorus capsularis. RNAcentral's name for it is "sRNA CCACVL1_09736". Lineage: Eukaryota; Viridiplantae; Streptophyta; Magnoliopsida; Malvales; Malvaceae. The record is from RNAcentral.
GGGAUGGGAGGAGUAGG